UACGUAGGGGGCAAGCGUUGUCCGGAUUUAUUGGGCGUAAAGAGCGUGUAGGCGGCCAGACAGGUCCGUUGUGAAAACUCGAGGCUCAACCUCGAGAUGUCGAUGGAAACCGUCUGGCUAGAGUCCGGAAGAGGAGUGUGGAAUUCCUGGUGUAGCGGUGAAAUGCGCAGAUAUCAGGAGGAACACCAAUGGCGAAGGCAGCUCGCUGGGACGGUACUGACGCUAAGGCGCGAAAGCGUGGGGAGCAAACAGG
RNAcentral lists this ribosomal RNA (253 nucleotides) under uncultured bacterium. RNAcentral describes it as "partial 16S ribosomal RNA". It matches the Rfam family "Bacterial small subunit ribosomal RNA", at positions 524 to 776 of the family's 1533-position model. The record is from RNAcentral.